RNAcentral lists this ribosomal RNA (517 nucleotides) under uncultured Pseudomonadota bacterium. RNAcentral's name for it is "bacterial SSU rRNA". It matches the Rfam family "Bacterial small subunit ribosomal RNA", at positions 389 to 896 of the family's 1533-position model. The record is from RNAcentral. Lineage: Bacteria; Pseudomonadati; Pseudomonadota.
CAGCAAUGCCGCGUGUGUGAAGAAGGCCUGCGGGUUGUAAAGCACUUUUAUCAGGAAAGAAACAGCCUGGGGUUAAUACCCCCGGGCCUUGACGGUACCUGAGGAAUAAGCACCGGCUAACUCCGUGCCAGCAGCCGCGGUAAUACGGAGGGUGCAAGCGUUAAUCGGAAUUACUGGGCGUAAAGCGAGUGUAGGCGGCUACGUAAGUCGGUUGUGAAAGCCCCGGGCUUAACCUGGGAAUUGCGUUCGAUACUGCGUGGCUAGAGUCUGAUAGAGGGAAGUGGAAUUCCAGGUGUAGCGGUGAAAUGCGUAGAUAUCUGGAGGAACAUCAGUGGCGAAGGCGGCUUCCUGGAUCAAGACUGACGCUCAGGCUCGAAAGCGUGGGUGGCAAACAGGAUUAGAUACCCUGGUAGUCCACGCCCUAAACGAUGUCAACUAGACGUUGGGUUCAUUAAAGAACUUAGUGUCGAAGCUAACGCGUUAAGUUGACCGCCUGGGGAGUACGGCCGCAAGGUUG